Molecule: long non-coding RNA, 1060 nt
Filed under: Erythranthe guttata (spotted monkey flower)
Lineage: Eukaryota; Viridiplantae; Streptophyta; Magnoliopsida; Lamiales; Phrymaceae
Description: long non-coding RNA (EGUT_LNC003844)
Source: RNAcentral
AGAAAAGAUACUCUACCUAGAGAUUCUACAAUUCUUGCAACGACAUUGGCAUUUGCAUUAUGCGAGCGUGCAUUUGGAUGGAGGGAUUUGGGGAAGAGAUUUCAAAUCCAUAAUAACAAAUCUCUCGGACUUGUUUGGAUUGAGGGAUUUGGAGAUGGAUUUCAAACCUCCACCCCUCCUUUUUAGUUGAUUUUGGAGCAAUAGUGAUGGAUUUCAAAUGACUCCAAAAUUGGAGUCAUUUCAAAUCCAUUCCCCAAAUCAAAUCCCUCCAUCCAAAUGAACCCUGAGAGAAAUUAAGGGCCUUGGUGCAUAAGAGAAGAUAUUCCACCAAGCCAUAAUCACCUUCUGACCUAAUAUUCUUGUUACCAUAUCCAAACGGGUCACGAUAUAUAAGCCGAUUUCUUGUUUGGGUUAAUUGAAAAAUUUAACCGCUUCAGAUUCAAUUUCGGUCAACAACUCAGUGAAAACAUCCGAUAUUGUUGUGAACAAUUAUGUAGCAGCAGUGAAAAACAUGGCAUGCGGAAAUCUUGAAAUGAUAACUGAGGAAUUGAAGCUUAAGGAGAGGGAUACUUUAUGUAGGUUAAAUGUGGAAAUAAUCCAAGUUGAACAAUUAUCUUCCAUGUUUGAAUCUUGAAGCAUUUAGUAAAGGUUAAGUACAAGUUUUGGGGUUGAACCAUACCAUUUAAGGUGUCGGGUCACAUUUAAACCAGUUGGACCAACCGAUUAAGUCCGAUUCUAAUAAUCAUAGUUAUAAGUAAAAUUAAAAUAAAAUAAAAUUGUGCGCUUGUAAGUUUUCUGAUGUUGAUAGAUUUUGUAGUAAUUUGAUCUAAUAAUGAAAUGUUUUUCAUAUAAUUUAUUUUAAUUCAUAUCAUCAAGUUUAUCGUGAUUUCUCAUGCAAAGAACUUAGAGGAAUACCUGUAGUAAGAUAACUAGUAGAUAUGUCAUUAGUGUUUAGGAUGGAUAUUGUUAAGAAAAUUCCUAGCUUCUCCGAUUCCUAUUCAAAAUUUUUGAUUUUGGAACAAUAAUUUUCAUUACGAAUUCCGAAGUUUUUUAUUGGCAA